GGGCUUUGGGUGAGAGCAAGGACGUCUUUCAAAAACCACAAGCUGCUGGAAGAGCCUCCCCCACUUACUCAGAUGUUUCUUUCUCUACAGUUGUUUUCUCUUUCGAGGUUACAGCAGUCAGAAUUAAAAGCUGUAGCCUUGACUCCAAGGCAGAGUUCUUCCUCCCGGGGUCUGCGGUCCAUUCCAUGCGUGCUGGAUGAUUGCAUUUAAGUUUUCUGAAAGAAAAUGCGCAAGUCCUCUGAGUGAUGUCUAUCACGGAAGUUGUAAAACUGUGCCGAGUGUGACCACAGCUUGUGCCUAGAAAUGGACUGAAGAAAACAUCCUAAAACGUUCACAGCGAGUUGUCCCACUGAUGAUUGGUGGAGUCGCCUGAUCUUGUGUCUGUUCAAGCCUCAGUCAACAACCUGGGAGGCCUCUUCCGUCACCAAGUCACCGUGAACUCACACGGCCCUCCUGCCUCUUCCUCUAAGCUCCUUCACCAGGAGAACUGAUGGUCACAUCUACCUUGUUGGACUGUCAUGAGGUACAAAUAGGAUGGUGAUGAUAAACGUUCUUGAAGAACCACAGAGCAUCGUGAAAGAGAAGGUAUGACUGUGGGUGAGGUGAGCGUCAAGGGCUUGUUAAGGGCAGCUUUGCGGGAGGGAGAAUCGUGCGAGUAGCAAACGACCAGAGAUGUGAGUGUGGACGGAGGAGCGGGCUUCCGAUUGGCUGGCCUCCAGAGCUGCAGGGGGGUCUUCCCACUAGCUGUAUGUUGCCUAAGGGUUUCCCGCCUCCAGCACAGAGACCUUCUUCACCUGUAAGGAGAUCUGAACGAGCCACCACUUCCUGCAGCAGAAUGGGACAGAGCGGGAGAGUUAAGUAGGGGAGAGCGCAGCAUAAUAGCAAAAAAAUGUGUCGCUGAACUUCAUUGCGCUCCAGGCACCAUUUUAAGCUCUAUUUUAAGCAUUCAUUUUAAUUCUUGACGUAUGCCUAUAACAUGGCUACCUUUAUUAUUCAUGUUUACAGAUGAGGAAACUGAGUCACAGGGAGGUCAAUUACCUCUCUGGGGUCUCCCGGCUAGAAAGUGAUGGUGCUGAGAUUUGAACCUAAGCAGUCUGGAGAGUCCACACUCCUAACCAGGGGAUUUCUCUGUUUAGUUAGAAGGCUCAAAUGGGCGGGGGCCUGGGAGGACGGAGGGAAUGGCUCACCUACCAGGGAGAGGUAAAUUUAGUCGUUCAUUUUGUGUCUUUCUUCUUCAAUAGACUUUCAUGAACAAUCAGAGUGCAUUGUGUUUGCACAUUUAUUCUGAGAGCAACCCUAAAAUGGAAUCAAUUAUGAUGCUUCAAUAUUGCAUAAGGAAUAGGGAAAAUAACCAAGAAUGGAAUAUUUUCUUAAAAUCAAAAUUAUCUGGAAAUCAAAUUCUAGUCUGACUCCUUAACUUAGGUUUCGAAUUUCAGGAUUACACUGCCACCUAGUGCAGACAAACAUUUUCGCAGAGUGUGAAAGCUAGUGAAUGCACAUAAAAUUUCACAGGAUGCAACAUAAACAAUGUUUAUUUAAGGGUUCUUUCAUAAAACAGAAAGAGCGAUUUCAGAAUUACAGAUCUCUAUCUAUGUGUUUUUUUGCUGAGGAAGAUUUGCCCUGAGCUAACAUCUGUUGUCAAUCUUCCUUUUUUUAAAGCGAGCUGCCACCACAGCAUGGCUGCUGACAGGCGAGUGGUGAAGUUCUGAGCCCAGGAUCUGAACCUGGACUGCCAAAGUGGAGUGUGCCAAACUUAACCACUAGGCCACUGGGGCUGGCCUCUAUGCUUUAAUGGUAAAGGGUAACAUGGAAUUCAGGAACACACUUUAGAUUUCUUGCUUGAUAAAUGAGCAUAGUGCAGAGAGAAGACUUGGGUUUCUGUACUUCAUUCUGCUGAGUAAAUUUCUUGAUACAUGUCUAGUAAGGAAAUUAGUACAAUUUUUUCAUGAGCACAAAAGUUCCCAGUGGGUCUUAUGCGUUCAGCUAAUAAUUAUUUAAAAAAUUUAUGCAGCAAAUACUUAACACGUACACUCUGAAGGUCAGUAUCUGUUGUAACAAAGGAGGGGGAGCCUAACGGAGUAGAAAACGUGAGCUUUGUGAGCCGUGGUUCUCGCGGGACCAGCAGCCCAGCGUCGCCUGGGGGCUUGUUGGAAAGGUGAGUUCUCAGACCCGCCGGGAUCUCCUGAAUCAGACUCUGGGGCUGGAGUCCAGUGACGUUUUUAACAAGUCGUUCAGAUGAUUCUGACGCAGUGUGGGAAGCACUGACAGAGAAGACGUCCUUCCAGGAGGGGAGAAGCAGGCUGAGGGGUCACACGAGGUUAAUCAGAAGAAGGGGAGGCUCAGGACGCCAAGGGCUGCUGCAGACUGACGCUCCACCCACGAAGCAGCGCUCCCGGCGGCAGCUCCUGGAAGCUCCUGGUUUCCGUGCAGGGGAAUGGAUUCCUGUCUUCCGUGGGGAAAUGGAAAUGGUCACAUUUUAGGAGAAGCAAAAGUGAUGCACUGAAAAGCCUGGGGAUGGGGUUUAUCUUAAAUACACAUUCUUCUAUUAAUGGUCUGUGGUGUGAACACAUUUGUUUGUGAGUGAUUCCAGAGAGAAAUGGCUACUGUCAUGGGCUCUAUUUGCUUGCUUUAUACGAUUAGGCUACAAUUACAAGUAUAGGACCAAAAUAAGCAGAUUCAAAGUAGAGCUUUGAUUGUGCUGAAAUGUCUUUGCAGUAAAACUGAACCCAAUGCAAAACUGGGGGUGUCCUAGAUUUAGCAGCUCUCUCUUAAUCAGCCUCCCAGCCGGAGAUCUCCGGGAUAAAUUUCUGCCUCGAGCUGUGGCUAAUUUGCAGCAUCCUCACACAGCUGAUAUGUGUCACUAGGAACUUUGGGUCUUUUAUUUCUAAAGGUAAGAUAGACAGAAGAAAGCUUAAAACUCCAUAUUAUUACAAAGCUAAUUUUUAAAGUGCCUCUUUGUUUUAAUCUAUAAAAUCUAUAAAUAUGAGAGUCAUGCCAUGUUUAAUUAACACAAGUUUAUGGCAAUUUCACUUAAAAAGAAUAUUUUCUAAAGACUAUAGUUGCGUUAAAACCAAGGAACUUGCCCCACUAUUCUGUGAGUUUUAUGGCGCCUCCCAACCGUUGUGCCCCGUAUCAGGAAACAAGAGAAAAUAUACCUCUUGGCAUUUCUAGAACCUACUGCAUUUUAAUCCAAUAUUUUUAAAAUCAUGGGUUGCAACCCAUUAGCUGGUCCUGAAAUCAAGUUAUUGAGAUGGCCACCAUCACUAAAAAACGAAAUAGGACAAAACAGAAAGUAGAGAGCGCCACCUUCAAGUGGGUAAGUGUUGUCUUCUGAAACUGUGUUUUGUGUACGUAUCUGUAUUGAUCAAAUCCAGUCGCUCCAUCUCUCCAGCAACUUCACAUGCACCUUUCUGAACACACUUCUAGAGAAGUCCUCCGUGCCCUCAGCCCCUUCACCCAGUUCCCAUAACAGCCAGAAUAAAGUCCAAAUUCUUUCACGGGUUUCAAGAUCCUCCCUCAAGGUCCUUCCAUUUAUUGUUUCAGAAAACGACAUCACCAUCUACUCAGGUGCUCAAGCUCAAAGCCAGGUAGUUCUGCUGGCCCCACCCCUUUUGUGGUCCACCCUGCCGGCUGAUCUUUCUUCUUCAUUCUUGCCGGGGUCUAGUCAACAGGUACCGCCUCAGAGGAGCUCCCUGACCCCUCCGUCUGGAUCAGCCUCCAAACCUACCCCUGCCUUUCUCUAGCACAUGUUGCCCUCUUUUGUAUUUUUUAGUAACAGUUCCAACUGAAAUUAUCUUGUUUGUUCUGGCAAAUGUAUCUGGUAUUGCUCUCCCCACCAGCGUGGCAGAGACCUGGUCUUUCUCUGUCCUGUCUCCGUGCUGACAUCAGUUCAGGGCUUCUGGUAGAAGAGUCACCAAUAACUAUUGACCCAGUGAAAACGUUCCUGAACUAAACUCGUGUUUCCUGAAAUAUUCUCUUCUACCUUUUUGUCAUGGUGCCUGCUGUUUCCUCUGCCCAAAGGGCACCAUAUCCACUUGUUCCCUUGGCAGGCUCCUAUUCAUCCUUUAAGAUUGCACCUGCUCUAUAAAAAACUUCCCGAUGCCCCUGGACUGAGCUCAUCCUUGUUCUCUUGAAGCUACAGCCCCUUUCGCUCACCAAAUGCCGUUGUUUUCAUACUGGAUUUCCCUGCUGGGCUGUGAGCUUCCCCAGGGCAAGGCUGUGGGCACUCAUGCUUUCUGUCUCCUCAACUCCUCACAUGUAAUUCAUCCAUACAGUUAUUCAGUAAAUGUUUGUUGAUUGAGUAAACAAAUGUAAGAAAGCAGAUGAUCAAGAAAGAUGAUUAUUUGUGAUGAUGUUCUCUGAUUUCAACUAUAAGCAAACAAAAUUCUAGAUUUAAGGAAAGGGAAAGAUAAGUCUGUGUGGAUGCCAUAUAGAGCAGUGUUGGGGGGAGGGAGGGAGUAAAGAGGAUGAGAGCAUAAUUAUUCUGUAUAAAAUAGGUCUAUUCAUAACACGGACCAUUUUAAACUUCAAGCUGUCUGAGCGCAUUUACAAUCCGAUACAGCCGACAGGUUUCAUUUCCUCACGGUUUUUAGGAGCAGACGGUGAGGUGAAGUGAGGGAACAGCGUGAACGCUGAGAAAGCUCAUGUGCCCGUGGUUCCAGGUGUGGCCUGGCCCGGCCAGGACCGUGGGGGUCCGCCCGGCUCCCAGUGAGAGUCUGAGAUCCUAUGAGGAAAUGUGAGUAAUAGAAAGCGGGGGUGGAAAGAAGAGGAAAAAUGUCCUGAA
Molecule: long non-coding RNA, 4783 nt
Filed under: Equus caballus (horse)
Lineage: Eukaryota; Metazoa; Chordata; Mammalia; Perissodactyla; Equidae
Description: lncRNA (ENSECAG00000033596.2)
Source: RNAcentral